CCCUUUUCUGACAUCGGAAGCAUUAAAUGCCCUUUUCUGCCAUCGAAAGUAAUUUUUUUGGCUUGUCAUGCUCUUUUGCUUUGUUAUUUCAAAUGCUGCCACUCUCUCUCCACCCUCGGAGUCACUCUCCUUCCUCCUUGAGCUCCGAGGCAUCCCAAGUCAAUCUUGCUCCGACUGUUUCAUGUGAUAGAAGGUUUUGGGCAGUAUUUUUUUUUCAAAAUUGCUCGAUGAUAGCAUGUCGGGCUAGUCAGAAAGUAAAAACACCAUUGCUGUCUCUCUUUUUUUUAAAGUAGUUUAUGUAUCAGAGCAUCUCCGUAGGUAGUUAGACGAAGUUAAUGCCUUAGCUAGGUUCCACGUCGACUUCUGUCUUCGAUUUUGACCCUCGAUCACCAUGGCCCCUCUUUUUUUUUAAUAGUUUAUUUAUCACAAUUUCUUCGUAGAUAAUUAGACGAAGUCAUUGUCUUGGCUAGGUUCCACGUAGAGUUCUACCUUCGAUUUUGACCUCCGAUCCUAGUAUCGAAAUAGUUCCUGAUGGCAUCUUUUCAAACAAAUAUGCUAUCACACCCCUCGAUUAUGACAUCCCACAAAUCGAGUAUGACAUUCUAGAGUUAAGGAUGGUCGUACAGUCGAUUGUGGCAUCCUCUAAGCCGAUUAUGAGUUUCUGUAAUCUUUCUAUGACAUCCUAGAACCCAUGCAAGUACCUUUUUUUUGGUAGAAGAACGACAUCCUGUACUUUCUUCACUUCAUGACAUCCUGGGUGCAGAUUAUAACUUGCUGUGGUCAUAGGAUGUUCU
Molecule: long non-coding RNA, 794 nt
Filed under: Elaeis guineensis (African oil palm)
Lineage: Eukaryota; Viridiplantae; Streptophyta; Magnoliopsida; Arecales; Arecaceae
Description: long non-coding RNA (EGUI_LNC030026)
Source: RNAcentral